GACUUUAGUCCACGAGCCUGAGGCUGGAUCGCCGGGAUACAGCCGCCGGCGCCGGCGCAUGCGCCCUCCGAGGCCGACGCGGCCGGCGGAUACUACCAGGCGUGUGCCGCGAGGGUUGGUAGGAGCGUCCCACCUUACCAGGACUGGAGGGACACGGACAACGAGACGGGAUGGAGUUUCCAUGCAGCCUGGACUGCUGACUUGACUACCUGACUCUGACUGCCUGGAAUAAUGAGAGCCUCUCUGCCCAUGUUAUGAUGGUCUUCACUGUGUUUCCUCCUAUGUUUCAAUCAUCUUUGUGUCUGUGCUGCUGAGGCCUGUCUCACCUCCCAGGGAGAAGCCACUCAGGAAACUGGAUCCCUGUCUGCAUUCCUCCACCGGGAUGGAAAAACAGAACUGAAGAGGAAGGAAGGAAGGAAGCGUGAAGAAACAGAAGGUUUCCCUCCUGGCUGAGGUUUAUCAGCACCACCCACCAACACAAGCAA
Long non-coding RNA from Bubalus bubalis (water buffalo), 485 nucleotides. RefSeq lists it as uncharacterized. The transcript is spliced from 3 exons. Lineage: Eukaryota; Metazoa; Chordata; Mammalia; Artiodactyla; Bovidae. The record is from RefSeq and is a predicted model, not a curated record.